GGGGGGGGGGGGGGGGGGGGGGGGGGGGGGGGGGGGGGGGGGGGGGGGGGGGCGGGGGGGGGGGGCGCGGGUGGCGAAGGGGGGAGUGACACGGGAGUAGCCUGCCCUUGACUUUGGGAGAACGUCAGGGAACUGGGGCGAAUACCGGAUAGGAGCUCCGGCGGCAUGGUGGGGGUUGGAAAGUUGCGGCGGGUGGGGAUGGACUCGCGGCUUAUCAGCUUGUUGGUGGGGUAGUGGCUUACCAAGGCUUUGACGGGUAGCCGGCCUGAGAGGGUGACCGGCCACAUUGGGACUGAGAUACGGCCCAGACUCCUACGGGAGGCAGCAGUGGGGAAUAUUGCACAAUGGGCGGAAGCCUGAUGCAGCAACGCCGCGUGCGGGAUGACGGCCUUCGGGUUGUAAACCGCUUUCGCCUGUGACGAAGCGUGAGUGACGGUAAUGGGUAAAGAAGCACCGGCUAACUACGU
This 467-nucleotide ribosomal RNA is filed under the name uncultured bacterium. Its description in RNAcentral is "partial 16S ribosomal RNA". The stretch from base 52 to 467 matches the Rfam family "Bacterial small subunit ribosomal RNA", at positions 39 to 506 of the family's 1533-position model. The record is from RNAcentral.